GAAGCUGGCUAGACAGUCGCUGCUUGCCUUUCAGCAAUGAAAGGCAAGGGGAGGAAAGUCCGGGCUCCACAGAGCAGGAUGCCGGUUAAUGACCGGCCGCCGCGAGGUGAGGAAUAGGGCCACAGAGACGAGCGUAUUAAGUUACGGUGAAACGCGGUAACCUCCAUCCGGAGCAAGACCAAAUAGGCAGGCUAUGAUGCUGCUCGCUGAGCCUGCGGGUAGGUCGCUUGAGCGCGCGGGCAACCGCGCGUCUAGAGGAAUGAUUGUCCAAGACAGAACCCGGCUUAUCGGCCAGCUUCCUUU
Molecule: RNase P RNA, 303 nt
Filed under: Nitrosovibrio sp. Nv6
Lineage: Bacteria; Pseudomonadati; Pseudomonadota; Betaproteobacteria; Nitrosomonadales; Nitrosomonadaceae
Description: Bacterial RNase P class A
Rfam family: Bacterial RNase P class A
About the family: Ribonuclease P (RNase P) is a ubiquitous endoribonuclease, found in archaea, bacteria and eukarya as well as chloroplasts and mitochondria. Its best characterised activity is the generation of mature 5'-ends of tRNAs by cleaving the 5'-leader elements of precursor-tRNAs.
Source: RNAcentral